CUCCUACGGGAGGCAGCAGUGGGGAAUAUUGCACAAUGGGGGAAACCCUGAUGCAGCGACGCCGCGUGGAGGAAGAAGGUCUUCGGAUUGUAAACUCCUGUUGUUGAGGAAGAUAAUGACGGUACUCAACAAGGAAGUGACGGCUAACUACGUGCCAGCAGCCGCGGUAAAACGUAGGUCACAAGCGUUGUCCGGAAUUACUGGGUGUAAAGGGAGCGCAGGCGGGAAGACAAGUUGGAAGUGAAAUCUAUGGGCUCAACCCAUAAACUGCUUUCAAAACUGUUUUUCUUGAGUAGUGCAGAGGUAGGCGGAAUUCCCGGUGUAGCGGUGGAAUGCGUAGAUAUCGGGAGGAACACCAGUGGCGAAGGCGGCCUACUGGGCACCAACUGACGCUGAGGCUCGAAAGUGUGGGUAGCAAACAGGAUUAGAUACCCUGGUAGUCCACACCGUAAACGACGAUAAUGAGGUGUUGGAGGAUUGACCCCUUCAGUGCCGC
Molecule: ribosomal RNA, 496 nt
Filed under: uncultured bacterium
Lineage: Bacteria
Description: bacterial SSU rRNA
Rfam family: Bacterial small subunit ribosomal RNA
Source: RNAcentral